This 584-nucleotide long non-coding RNA is filed under the name Pogona vitticeps (central bearded dragon). RNAcentral describes it as "lncRNA (ENSPVIG00000023046.1)". Lineage: Eukaryota; Metazoa; Chordata; Lepidosauria; Squamata; Agamidae. The record is from RNAcentral.
AUCAUAUUUACUUUGCUUAAUCUAGGGAAAUAAGAAAGUUAGCGUUUAUACCCCCCCCCAUCAAGAUAGGAAAGAGAAAAAGAAUUUUAAUUCUCUCUAACUGAAGUGGAGAGGAAGGGAACUGUGACUUUUCCCCCAUCUCACAAGAACAAAGGCAAAUGUUUACCCCUGUCCUCUCCGAGAUAGGAUCAAGAGAGAAACAUGAAAAAGAAGUGGCAUCGUCAACACUAAGAAUAUUAGUUUAGGUUGAAGGGAGGUCAGCAUAGAUUAGAGUAGGUCUAGGAAACCCUAGGAAGUCCCCCCCCCUCUCCAUAUACCUUCUUCAACACAACCUGAGUUCCAUCCUCACUUAUCUCCAACAGAGUUGUCACUGUAGUCUUGAAAAAUCUGUGUUCUACCUAUCAGAUCCAAGGUCAUCUUCUGUUACUACUUUCAAAUUGUGGCAUAUGCAAUCUAAAUGGAAGGAGGUGAAAAUAUGGCAUUCUGCAUGCAUGUGGUUGCCAGGUUUAAGGGCACCAAUUCAAGUCUCAAAGAACUGCUGUGCUUGGGUCUUUAGGCCAGAAGACAGACAUGUCUCCAGGUAA